Cajanus cajan (pigeon pea) is the source of this 79-nucleotide non-coding RNA. Lineage: Eukaryota; Viridiplantae; Streptophyta; Magnoliopsida; Fabales; Fabaceae. The record is from Rfam.
GGGUUUAGAUUGAAUUGUCGCCCCAGUCUUAAUUUGCACCACGAGGUGUAAGAUGCUGAAUGACAUUCUUAUCUGAUCC